Molecule: long non-coding RNA, 264 nt
Filed under: Monodelphis domestica (gray short-tailed opossum)
Lineage: Eukaryota; Metazoa; Chordata; Mammalia; Didelphimorphia; Didelphidae
Description: lncRNA (ENSMODG00000039678.1)
Source: RNAcentral
CUUUUGCUAGUCUUGCAGAAGAUGUCUUCAGUGAUGUGACUGCCGCUGACAUCAAACAGCAUAAGUGGCUGGUUUCUGUGCUAGAUUGAAAUUCAUCCAGCGCCCUGCGUUCACAGUGAUGACUCUCGAUGCUAAUUCUCAACUAUCUUCUUCUGUUCUUAAUGGAAAACAUCACCUAAGUAACAGCAAUAAUAUCUAAUGAUAAACUGCAAAUGACAACUAUUGUCAGCAAUAAAAGAAUCUAGAACAACUCCGAGGGACUCA